Molecule: ribosomal RNA, 492 nt
Filed under: uncultured bacterium
Lineage: Bacteria
Description: partial 16S ribosomal RNA
Rfam family: Bacterial small subunit ribosomal RNA
Source: RNAcentral
GGUGAACGCUAGCGGGAGGCUUAACACAUGCAAGUCGAGGGGUAGGGAAGCAAUUCCUGAGACCGGCGGACGGGUGCGUAACGCGUAUGCAACCUGCCUUAUACAGGGGGAUAGCCCAUGGAAACGUGGAUUAACACCCCAUAGGAUUACGGGAUCGCAUGAUUUUGUGAUUAAAACUGAGGUGGUAUAAGAUGGGCAUGCGUCUGAUUAGGUAGUUGGUAGGGUAAUGGCCUACCAAGCCGACGAUCAGUAGGGGUUCUGAGAGGAUUACCCCCCACACGGGUACUGAGACACGGACCAGACGCCUACGGGAGGCAGCAGUGAGGAAUAUUGGUCAAUGGCCGGAAGGCUGAACCAGCCAUCCCGCGUGCAGGAUGACGGCCCUAUGGGUUGUAAACUGCUUUUGUACCUGAAGAAUAGGCCCAACGAGUUGGGAUUUGCCGGUAAGGUAUGAAUAAGCAUCGGCUAACUCCGUGCCAGCCGCCGCCGUAA